CUCUUGUUCUCUUUCGCAGGCGCGCCGUCACUGCGGAGGGAGACAGGGUGUCCGGUGGAGGGGGGCCUAGCGCCAAAGAACGUGUGCAGAUCUGCAGGUGUGUGCGGGAGGCUGUGCAUGUGAGGAUGCCCAGGGUCCAUGUGCAAGAGAACACGUGUGUGUGUGUGAGGGUGUGCAUGUGAGGAUGCCCAGGGUCCAUGUGCACGAGAACAUGUGUGUGUGUAUGUGUGUGUGUGUGUGUGAGCAUGUAGAGCAGUGUGCGGGAGGAGUGUUCAUGUGAGGAUGCCCAGGUUCCAUGUGCAGAACGUGUGUGUGUGUGUGUGUGUGUGUGUGAGCAUGUGGAGCAGUGUGUGAACCCGAGUGUGAGGAGUGUCCACGUGGACUCACUGGAACGUGAUGUGCCACGGGUGAGCUGCGGGUCCCUGUGCCUGAGGCCUGGAAGCAGCACCUGGGCAGCUCUGAGCGGGGCCUGUGGUCCCCAGGGGUCAGAGCGGCCUGGUGGCCUCACGGGCCCGAGCUCGCCAGAGAGAAAGCCAAGCAGCCUAGAGGCAAUGAGUCCCCACCAGCCACACGUCAGUCCUGCGAUCCACUGGGUGCUGAGCUGCACCCAGAGGCCUGCUGCCUCCUCCCGCCCGCCGCCCC
This is a long non-coding RNA of Pipistrellus kuhlii (Kuhl's pipistrelle), 642 nucleotides long. RefSeq lists it as uncharacterized. The record is from RefSeq and is a predicted model, not a curated record. The transcript is spliced from 3 exons. NCBI's taxonomy places the organism in Eukaryota, Metazoa, Chordata, Mammalia, Chiroptera, Vespertilionidae.